AUAUGUUUCUCGGCCUUUUUGGCUAAGAUCAAAUGUAGUAUCUGUUCUUAUCAGUUUAAUAUCUGAUACGUGAAUCAUUGAUUCAUAUGAUAUUAAAUUUAUUUUUUUAGAGAGAGGGCUCAUCACAAUAGCUUGCUAUUGGAGUCCUUGAGUGUUGCUUGUGUGUUGCAUUAUAGCACAGGCCUGGUGCAACCCUC
Non-coding RNA from Ricinus communis (castor bean), 197 nucleotides. The record is from Rfam. NCBI's taxonomy places the organism in Eukaryota, Viridiplantae, Streptophyta, Magnoliopsida, Malpighiales, Euphorbiaceae.